RNAcentral lists this non-coding RNA (21 nucleotides) under Caenorhabditis elegans. The record is from RNAcentral. Lineage: Eukaryota; Metazoa; Nematoda; Chromadorea; Rhabditida; Rhabditidae.
UAUUUUCUCUAUUUUAAAGUA